Molecule: ribosomal RNA, 239 nt
Filed under: Staphylococcus aureus
Lineage: Bacteria; Bacillati; Bacillota; Bacilli; Caryophanales; Staphylococcaceae
Description: partial 16S ribosomal RNA
Rfam family: Bacterial small subunit ribosomal RNA
Source: RNAcentral
CGUGAGUUAUGAAGGUCUUCUGAUCGUAAAACUCUGUUAUUAGUGAAGUACAUAUGUGUAAGUAACUGUGCACAUCUUGACGGUACAUAAUCAGAAAGCCACGGCUAACUACGUGCCAGAAGCCGCGGUAAUACGUAGGUGGCAAGCGUUCUCAGGAAUUAUUGGGCUUAAAGCGCGCGUAGGCGGUUUUUUAAGUCUGAUGAGAAAGCCCAAGGCUCAACCGUGGAGGGUCAUUGGAC